This 301-nucleotide ribosomal RNA is filed under the name uncultured bacterium. RNAcentral's name for it is "partial 16S ribosomal RNA". It matches the Rfam family "Bacterial small subunit ribosomal RNA", at positions 509 to 807 of the family's 1533-position model. The record is from RNAcentral.
CAGUCGCCACGGUAAUACGAAGGGGGCUAGCGUUGCUCGGAAUCACUGGGCGUAAAGGGUGCGUAGGCGGGUCUUUAAGUCAGGGGUGAAAUCCUGGAGCUCAACUCCAGAACUGCCUUUGAUACUGAAGAUCUUGAGUUCGGGAGAGGUGAGUGGAACUGCGAGUGUAGAGGUGAAAUUCGUAGAUAUUCGGAAGAACACCAGUGGCGAAGGCGACACACUGGCUCAUUACUGACGCUGAGGCUCGAAAGCGUGGGGAGCAAACAGGAUUAGAUACCCCCGUAGUCCCUGUCUCUUAUAC